UACGUAGGGGGCAAGCGUUGUCCGGAAUUACUGGGCGUAAAGCGCGCGUAGGCGGCUUUGUAAGUUAGAGGUGAAAGCCCGGGGCUCAACCCCGGAACUGCCUUUAAGACUGCAUCGCUUGAAUCCGGGAGAGGUGAGUGGAAUUCCGAGUGUAGAGGUGAAAUUCGUAGAUAUUCGGAAGAACACCAGUGGCGAAGGCGGCUCACUGGACCGGUAUUGACGCUGAGGUGCGAAAGCGUGGGGAGCAAACAGG
RNAcentral lists this ribosomal RNA (253 nucleotides) under uncultured bacterium. RNAcentral describes it as "partial 16S ribosomal RNA". It matches the Rfam family "Bacterial small subunit ribosomal RNA", at positions 524 to 776 of the family's 1533-position model. The record is from RNAcentral.